AUGCGUGCCAUUAGCUAGAUGGUAAGGUAAGGGCUUACCAUGGCGACGAUGGCUAGGGGUUCUGCAAGGAAGAUCCCCCACACUGGUACUGAGACACGGACCAGACUCCUACGGGAGGCAGCAGUGAGGAAUAUUGGUCAAUGGAGGCAACUCUGAACCAGCCAAGCCGCGUGAAGGAAGACUGUUCUAUGAAUUGUAAACUUCUUUUGUGACAGAGUAAAGAUAGCUACGCGUAGUUAUUUGCAAGUAUGUCAUGAAUAAGCAUCGGCUAACUCCGUGCCAGCAGCCGCGGUAAUACGGAGGAUGCAGGCGUUAUCCGGAUUUAUUAGGUUUAAAGGGUGUUCAGGCUGUCUGGUAAGUCAGAGGUGAAAGUCGGUUGCUUAACGAUCGAAUUGCCUUUGAAACUGUCAGACUUGAGUAUGGAUGCGGUAGGCGGAAUGUGUAGUGUAGCGGUGAAAUGCAUAGAUAUUACACAGAACACCGAUUGCGAAAGCAGCUUACCAAACCAGCACUGACGCUGAAGCACGAAAGCGUGGGUAGCGAACAGGAUUAGAUACCCUGGUAGUCCACGCAGUAAACGAUGCUCACUCGCUGUUGGCAAUAGAUCGUCAGCGGCUAAGGGAAACCGAUAAGUGAGCCACCUGGGGAGUACGAUCGCAAGAUUGAAACUCAAAGGAAUUGACGGGGGGCCCGCACAAGCGGUGGAACAUGUGGUUUAAUUCGAUGAUACGCGAAGGACCUUUACUGGGGCUUAAAUGUACGAUGCCUUAAUGGGAAAGCACUUUUUCCCUUCGGACUUU
Molecule: ribosomal RNA, 800 nt
Filed under: uncultured bacterium
Lineage: Bacteria
Description: bacterial SSU rRNA
Rfam family: Bacterial small subunit ribosomal RNA
Source: RNAcentral